This 84-nucleotide transfer RNA is filed under the name uncultured Acidimicrobiales bacterium. RNAcentral describes it as "tRNA-Leu". It matches the Rfam family "tRNA". Rfam says of the family: Transfer RNA (tRNA) molecules are approximately 80 nucleotides in length. Their secondary structure includes four short double-helical elements and three loops (D, anti-codon, and T loops). Further hydrogen bonds mediate the characteristic L-shaped molecular structure. tRNAs have two regions of fundamental functional importance: the anti-codon, which is responsible for specific mRNA codon recognition, and the 3' end, to which the tRNAs corresponding amino acid is attached (by aminoacyl-tRNA synthetases). tRNAs cope with the degeneracy of the genetic code in two manners: having more than one tRNA (with a specific anti-codon) for a particular amino acid; and 'wobble' base-pairing, i.e. permitting non-standard base-pairing at the 3rd anti-codon position. Lineage: Bacteria; Bacillati; Actinomycetota; Acidimicrobiia; Acidimicrobiales. RNAcentral also lists the same sequence under 2 other names. The record is from RNAcentral.
GCCCGGGUGGCGGAAUGGCAGACGCGGCGGACUCAAAAUCCGUUGCCUUCACGGGCGUGCGGGUUCAAGUCCCGCCCCGGGCAC